RNAcentral lists this ribosomal RNA (164 nucleotides) under uncultured bacterium. RNAcentral describes it as "partial 16S ribosomal RNA". It matches the Rfam family "Bacterial small subunit ribosomal RNA", at positions 355 to 511 of the family's 1533-position model. The record is from RNAcentral.
UAGGGAAUCUUCCACAAUGGACGAAAGCCUGAUGGAGCAACGCCGCGUGAGUGAAGAAGGGUUUCGGCUCGUAAAACUCUGUUGUUAAAGAAGAACAUAUCUGAGAGUAACUGUUCAGGUAUUGACGGUAUUUAACCAGAAAGCCACGGCUAACUACGUGCAAG